This 624-nucleotide long non-coding RNA is filed under the name Physcomitrium patens. Its description in RNAcentral is "long non-coding RNA (PPAT_LNC000454)". Lineage: Eukaryota; Viridiplantae; Streptophyta; Bryopsida; Funariales; Funariaceae. The record is from RNAcentral.
AGGAGUUAUUGGUACUCAAAGUUAAGGUGUCAAUUUCAUAUCUACUAUCACUUUUUGGGGCAUAACAUAUGUUUAUGGAUAGCAACAAAAGAUCGGCAACUAGAAUUGGAAAGAAUAUUUUUUUGACUACACUUUUUAUAUAUUGUUUGAUGAAUUUGGAGUUUGAAUGAAGAAGUUAUAAAGGAUUGAAGUCAGCACAUCUAAAUCAAAGGCAGUAAGUAAGUGAUUUUAUUCAUAGUAAUGGUUGGAACCAUAUCUUGAGUUUUUGGACGAAUUUUUGGCUCAAAUCUUUUAAAGAAGGUUGAUUAUUGUGUUAAAAAGCUAUAUAUAUAAAUUUUGUGGUAUUUAAGUGUUUAUUUUAUGAGAUAUGAAGAAAUUUACAUGUAGAUGUAUAAAAACUAGGAUUUGAAGCUACUAUUAGGAUUUUGGUGAUAUCUUAAGAUCCACAACAAAUUUAAAGUUGAAAUUUUUUGUAAUAGUUGUUAGAAGUACAUUAGUAUUUCAUGUAAGAAUUUGAGUAUGUUUGGAUGGUUCGAUUGGAAGAUAUGAAUUUUUGAAGUUCGAGAGUAAUACCCUAUAAGAAUAUUUAAGAAUUUAGAGUUUUUUUUAUCAUAUUUUGAGUAU